Molecule: non-coding RNA, 253 nt
Organism: Drosophila bipectinata
Lineage: Eukaryota; Metazoa; Arthropoda; Insecta; Diptera; Drosophilidae
Source: RefSeq, a predicted model, not a curated record
UUCAAAUUUGAAACAAAAAAUUGUUCGCGCCUUUGCUGCUAAUCCACGAACCAGGUAUUAGCAAGAAACACAACUACCACUAUCGAAGAAGACACAUCACUAUCGGAGGUGAGCCAUCACUAUGGAACCAGCACCAUCACUAUCACACCAACAAGAAUCCAAGUCGGCGCCAAUAAAAGUUUUUUGUUUCAAAUGAAGUUAUUGUUCUGUUAAAACAUUGUGAUACCUUAAUAAAUAUAAUGAUUGCAUCUGA